UGCCGGUGUGCAUGUUGUUGG
Molecule: non-coding RNA, 21 nt
Filed under: Arabidopsis thaliana (thale cress)
Lineage: Eukaryota; Viridiplantae; Streptophyta; Magnoliopsida; Brassicales; Brassicaceae
Source: RNAcentral